Molecule: ribosomal RNA, 499 nt
Filed under: uncultured bacterium
Lineage: Bacteria
Description: partial 16S ribosomal RNA
Rfam family: Bacterial small subunit ribosomal RNA
Source: RNAcentral
GACGAACGCUGGCGGCGUGCUUAACACAUGCAAGUCGAACGGGCCCGCCCCUGUUUUUGGGGGUGGGUUGAGUGGCGAACGGGUGAGUAACACGUGAGUAACCUGCCCCCUGCUCCUGGAUAACUGCUUGAAAGGGCGGCUAAUACGGGGUGUGCCGGCUGGUCCGCAUGGGCCUGGUCGGGAUAGUUUCAUCGUCGGGUGUUUCGGUGGGGGAUGGGCUCGCGGCCUAUCAGCUUGUUGGUGGGGUGCUGGCCCACCAAGGCGGUGACGGGUAGCCGGCCUGGGUGGUUGGGCGCCCACACUGGGACUGAGACACGGCCCAGACUCCGGCGGGAGCCAGCAGUGGGGGGUCUUGCACAAUGGGCGGAUGCCUGAUGCAGCGACGUCGCGUGAGGGAUGGAUGCCUUCGGGUGGUGAACCUCUUUCUCCGGUGGUGAAGGCCCUGUCCGUUGCGGCGGGGUUGACGGUAGCCGGGUAUGAAGCGCCGGCUAACUACGUG